CCUACGGGCGGCAGCAGUCGAGAAUCAUUCACAAUGGGGGAAACCCUGAUGGUGCGACGCCGCGUGGGGGAAUGAAGGUCUUCGGAUUGUAAACCCCUGUCAUGUGGGAGCAAAUUAAAAAGAUAGUACCCCAAGAGGAAGAGACGGCUAACUCUGUGCCAGCAGCCGCGGUAAUACAGAGGUCUCAAGCGUUGUUCGGAAUCACUGGGCGUAAAGCGUGCGUAGGCUGUUUCGUAAGUCGUGUGUGAAAGGCGCGGGCUCAACCCGCGGACGGCACAUGAUACUGCGAGACUAGAGUAAUGGAGGGGGAACCGGAAUUCUCGGUGUAGCAGUGAAAUGCGUAGAUAUCGAGAGGAACACUCGUGGCGAAGGCGGGUUCCUGGACAUUAACUGACGCUGAGGCACGAAGGCCAGGGGAGCGAAUGGGAUUAGAUACCCUGGUAGUC
RNAcentral lists this ribosomal RNA (446 nucleotides) under uncultured bacterium. Its description in RNAcentral is "partial 16S ribosomal RNA". It matches the Rfam family "Bacterial small subunit ribosomal RNA", at positions 338 to 795 of the family's 1533-position model. The record is from RNAcentral.